GAUGAACGCUGGCGGCGUGCCUAAUACAUGCAAGUCGAGCGAACGGACGAGAAGCUUGCUUCUCUGAUGUUAGCGGCGGACGGGUGAGUAACACGUGGAUAGCCUACCUAUAAGACUGGGAUAACUUCGGGAAACCGGAGCUAAUACCGGAUAAUAUUUUGAACCGCAUGGUUCAAAAGUGAAAGACGGUCUUGCUGUCACUUAUAGAUGGAUCCGCGCUGCAUUAGCUAGUUGGUAAGGUAACGGCUUACCAAGGCAACGAUGCAUAGCCGACCUGAGAGGGUGAUCGGCCACACUGGAACUGAGACACGGUCCAGACUCCUACGGGAGGCAGCAGUAGGGAAUCUUCCGCAAUGGGCGAAAGCCUGACGGAGCAACGCCGCGUGAGUGAUGAAGGUCUUCGGAUCGUAAAACUCUGUUAUUAGGGAAGAACAUAUGUGUAAGUAACCGUGCACAUCUUGACGGUACCUAAUCAGAAAGCCACGGCUAACUACGUG
RNAcentral lists this ribosomal RNA (497 nucleotides) under uncultured bacterium. RNAcentral describes it as "partial 16S ribosomal RNA". It matches the Rfam family "Bacterial small subunit ribosomal RNA", at positions 28 to 507 of the family's 1533-position model. The record is from RNAcentral.